UGAAAAAAAAAGGGUGUUCAUCUUGUUCUUUCUAGCCGAAUGUAAAGAAGAGUUGGGGAGAAGAACCAUUCGGCCACCUUAGGUUUUCAUUAAGGUAAGAAGUUUAAGUUAAAUUCUUGAAAUUUAAGUUAAUUUUGAGUUAGUUACCAAGUUCUUUAGGUAACCCAUGUUAAAAUUUUGAUUUUAGGAAUGAGUAGAACUUUCGGCCAUGAUAGUUAAUAAAAGAUAUGGUUAUUGUUUCAUGCUAAUUUAGAUGAAUAAUGGUAGAUAGGUGUUUGAACUAAACAAAUGAUCAUAUGGAUGCAUUAGAUGCUAAGUGGGAAGAAUCGGCUAUCAUGUUUGAUGCCAUUGCCGAACAUAAAUUUGUUUAUAAUUGAAUAAUGUGUGUGUUUUGAGUUGAUAGAAUAAAAAGAAUGCUUAAAAUGUGUUAUAAGCAAAUAAGAGUUAAAUUAAAGUUGCUAAAUUACCAUUUUUUUUGCCGAAUAUGUGCUUAAUUUAAAGAGGAGUUUGUUGAAGAAUGUAUGUGAACAUGGUAAGUGUAUUCGGCUUAGUGAGUAAAUGAAAUGAAAAUUUGGAAUUGAUUUUUUUUUUUAUGUGUAUGUAUGACCAAGUAUAUUCGGCCACAUAAGUAAUAUAAGUACAUGAUGUUAUAUUAUGAUUAUUGAGCUUAUGUAUGUGGGUGCAUGUAUAUUUAGUAAUAUAAUGACGUUUGGUUUUGAAAGUUGAAUGAUAAAUUAUUACCUUAAUUACAUGAGCAUUUGGUGAAAGUAGCAUUUGUGUAUGAACAUGUAUUAGUUAUGAAACCGGUAGGUUUAAGACUAAUUGUGGUAAUGAUAAUAUAUUAUAAAAUGAGUUUGAUAUUUGAUUACCGAAUGUGAAUAAUAAGUAAACACUAUUGAUCAAAAUAUUAAACAUCUCUAUUUAUACUUAUUUAGCUCAAGAGCAAGGGGGAUCAAAGUUGGAUAAGGGAAAAGAGAAAGCUAUAGAGUAGUCAAUCCACAACCGUCCCAAUAUACCGAGGUAAGUUCGGAUAGUCACAUUUAGUGCAUCUUGAUAAUGUCUUGAUAUGACAGAAUAAAUUAUGCUUCAAGCUUAUAGCAAAAAAAAAAUUAUAUAGUUGGUGCAUGGCAUAUCACUAUUCGAAUGAGUAAAUAAACCAAAUUUUUGAGAUGUUACGUGAAUUGAAUUCAUUGUAAAUAAAUAUGUAUGGUGCUCAUUGAAGGGAUAUAUCCGGACUUAUAGUCCGCAGGCUUUGUGCUGGCAAUAGAUAUCCAGGUUAAAUCCCACAAGCUUGUGCUGGUAAUAGAUAUCCGGGUUAAAUCCCGCAGGCUUUGUGCUGGUAAUAGAUAUCUGGGUUAAAUCCCGCAGGCUUUGUGCUAGAAAUUGGACUCGGGUUUUAAAAACCUAGCAGGCUUAAUGCCGGUGAUUUGAGUAAGAUUAUGAUUUCGAAUGUUCGGAGGAAACCACCAUUGAAUUUGUUCAAUGCAUUAAGUUGGUCAGGUAUGUAUUAUAUACUUUUAUAUGUUAGAUUGAUCGGAAUUGAAUCAUGAAUGCGAAAUGAGAAGUAUAUGUGAAAAUAUCAUAUGUGUAUGUGUGUAUUCGGUUAUGGUGGAAGGUUACAUGAGAUUGAUUUGGUGAUAUACUUGUUAAAUAAUAUGAAUGCAAAGAAUGUGUAAUAAAUCUGCUUGGGACAGCAGCAGUAACGUGAUUUCGGAAAAUCACCAUAAAUUGUGGGAGUUGAGUUAGAGGCUGAAUAAAUUAUAUCAUGAAAUCUUAAUGAGUCUAGUUUUUUAUAAAAGAAACCGUGUAAGCAAAAGAAUUGCCAAUAAUGAGAUAUUUGAAGUGGCAUGGAACAGAGUCAAAAUGACUUCGAGGUCCCCUGUUCUGUUUUCAGGAAAUCAUUAUAAAUGGUACAAAAAUGGUUAUAAGAUAAAAUUUAUAUUCUUAGACUCCUUAAUGAGUCUAGUUUCAAAUGAAAUAAACGAUAACAUAUUUUGAAUUCUGUAUAAUGAGAAAUUUGAUUCAUAGUGAAGAGUGGUCAGAAUAGUCAAACAGUGAAACAGGGGAAACUUCAAGAAAAAUCUGGUAUUUAUUGGUAAAACCAAAAAUUCUGAAAAAUUGAUGGAUGGAAGAUAUAUGAGUCUAUUUUCAGGGAAAAUUAACGGCACUUGAUUUGGAGUUCCUUAGCUCCAGUUAUAAAUAAUUUAGUGACUGUUGCUCAGGAAGACAGCUUGUAGUGAAUUUGUGAUUUUGUUGCAAACAUGGUUAAAACUUGUUAAUGAGAUGCUUUUCGAGUUCUUAUGAUCUUAUUUUUGAUUUCAAUAUUUGGUUUUAAUUCAGUUUAGAUUCAAGUGAGGUGAAUUUGCUACAUAUGCAUUAUGUUCAUGGAUACUUGGCCAAAAUGGAAAUUAUCUAGGAAUGAUUUCUUGAAAAUUUGAAUAAUCGAUCUAUAAGUAAAUUAAUUGUUUGCAUUGCUUAAAACUUACUAAGCAUAAUAAUGCUUACUUCGUUACCUUAAUCCUCUGUUUUGUAGAUUUUGUUCGUCAGCUGCGGUCUCGGGGAUCUCAAAGUCGAAGUCGACCACACUAUCUAAGCUUCUUGGUACUCGAGUAGUUAAAUUUCGAUAAUGGCAUGUAUAGGCUUGACUUUUUGUUGUUAAAUAACUAUUUUUUUGAUGAUGUAUAUAUAUGGGUAGCCAUGCGAAAAUGGCUUAAUAAGUUACUAUAUGUGUUCCAAGUGGUUAAUGUGAAUGCGUGGUUGAGA
Molecule: long non-coding RNA, 2763 nt
Filed under: Gossypium barbadense (sea-island cotton)
Lineage: Eukaryota; Viridiplantae; Streptophyta; Magnoliopsida; Malvales; Malvaceae
Description: long non-coding RNA (GBAR_LNC011638)
Source: RNAcentral